Molecule: small nucleolar RNA, 104 nt
Organism: Rhododendron vialii
Lineage: Eukaryota; Viridiplantae; Streptophyta; Magnoliopsida; Ericales; Ericaceae
Source: RefSeq, a predicted model, not a curated record
UUGUAUUGCAAUGAUGAUAAUUGUUAAUCCUAGCUCAUUAUGAGACCUCUUUUGUGAGAAGGUCAGGGAAAAUACUCUAUCCUAACAGAUAAUCUGAGCUUCGC